UGGGGAAUAUUGCACAAUGGGCGAAAGCCUGAUGCAGCAACGCCGCGUGAGUGAUGAAGGUCUUCGGAUUGUAAAGCUCUGUCUUUUGGGACGAUAAUGACGGUACCAAAGGAGGAAGCCACGGCUAACUACGUGCCAGCAGCCGCGGUAAUACGUAGGUGGCGAGCGUUGUCUGGAUUUACUGGGCGUAAAGGGUGCGUAGGCGGAUGUUUAAGUGAGAUGUGAAAUACCCGGGCUUAACUUGGGUGCUGCAUUUCAAACUGGAUAUCUAGAGUGCAGGAGAGGAGAAUGGAAUUCCUAGUGUAGCGGUGAAAUGCGUAGAGAUUAGGAAGAACACCAGUGGCGAAGGCGAUUCUCUGGACUGUAACUGACGCUGAGGCACGAAAGCGUGGGUAGCAAACAGGAUUAGAUACCCUGGUAGUCCACGUCGUAAACGAUGAGUACUAGGUGUAGGAGGUAUCGACCCCUUCUGUGCCGCAGUAAACACAUUAAGUACUCCGCCUGGGAAGUACGAUCGCAAGAUUAAAAC
Molecule: ribosomal RNA, 529 nt
Filed under: uncultured bacterium
Lineage: Bacteria
Description: partial 16S ribosomal RNA
Rfam family: Bacterial small subunit ribosomal RNA
Source: RNAcentral